GAUAAUUUGCCCUAUGGUCUGGGAUAGCCUUGAGAAAUUGAGGGUAAGCCCGGAUAGAGGAUAACCACUGGAAUGUGUUUUCCUCCAAAGGCAACGCCAUAGGAUAAGUCGGCGGCUGAUUAGUUUGUUGGUGAGGUAAUGGCUCACCAAGACGAAGAUCAGUACGGGGGAUGAGAGUCCUAGCCCGGAGAAGGACACUGAGAUACUGGUCCUAGCCCUAAGGGGUGCAGCAGGCGCGAAACCUUUACAAUGUACGAAAGUGCGAUAAGGGGAUCCCUAGUGCUCAGCCAUUGGUUGAGCUUUUGCCGAGUGUAAGUAUCUCGGCGAAUAAGUGGUGGGUAAUACUGGUGCCAGCCGCCGCGGUAACACCAGAGCCACGAGUGGCAGUCAUGUUUAUUGGGCCUAAAGCGUCCGUAGCCGGUUUGAAAAAUCUUUUGUGAAACUGUCUAGCUUAACUAGACAACGUGCAAGAGACACUAUUGAGCUUGAGACCGGGAGGAGACAGAGGUAUUCUGAGGGGAGCGGUAGAAUGUUAUAAUCCUCGGAGGACCAUCGGUGGCGAAGGCGUCUGUCUAGAACGGUUCUGACGGUGAGGGACGAAGGCCAGGGGAGCAAAACGGAUUAGAUACCCGAGUAGUCCUGGCAGUAAACGCUGUGAGCUAUGUGUUGCAUAUCUUUCGUGGAUAUGCAGUGCCUAAGUGAAGAUGUUAAGCUCACCGCCUGGGAAGUACGGCCGCAAGACUGAAACUUAAAGGAAUUGGCGGGGGCUCACCACAAGGGGUGCGGCGUGCGGUUUAAUUGGAUUAUACACCGGAAAUCUCACCAGCAGCGACGGCAGGAUGAAUGUCAGAUUAAAGGUUUUACAUGACGAGCCGAGAGGUGGUGCAUGGCCGACGCCAGCUCGUGCCGUGAGGUGUCACGUUAAGUCGUGUAACGAGCGAGACCCAUAUCUGCUUUUGCCAGCAAGCCCUCCGGGGUGUUUGGGUACAAUGCAGAGACUGCCUUGGUAACGAGGAGGAAGGCGUGGGCAACGUUAGGUCAGUAUGCCCCGAAUCUGCUGGGCUACACGCGCGCAACAAUGGUGGGGACAAUGGGCUGCGACUCCGAAAGGAGGAGCCAAUCCUCGAAACCCCAUCUUAGUCCGGAUUGAGGGCUGGAACCCGCCCUCAUGACGACGGAAUCCCUAGUAAUCGGAGUUCAACAGGCUCCGGUGAAUACGUCCCUGAGCCUUGCACACACUGCCCGUCAAACCAACCGAGCAGGGUUCGGAUGAGAUUUAGUUUCUUGAUUAGAUCGAAUCCGGAUUCAGUAAGGUGGGUUAAGUCGUCACAAGGUA
RNAcentral lists this ribosomal RNA (1336 nucleotides) under metagenome. Its description in RNAcentral is "bacterial SSU rRNA". It matches the Rfam family "Archaeal small subunit ribosomal RNA". The record is from RNAcentral.